GACGAACGCUGGCGGCGUGCUUAACACAUGCAAGUCGAACGAAGAGCGAUGGAAGCUUGCUUCUAUCAAUCUUAGAGGCGAACGGGUGAGUAACGCGUAAUCAACCUUCCCUUCAGAGGGGGACAACAGUAGGAAACGACUGCUAAUACCGCAUACGAUCUGACCUCGGCAUCGAGGGAAGAUGAAAGGUGGCCUCUACAUGUAAGCUAUCACUGAAGGUGGGGAUUGCGUCUGAUUAGCUCGUUGGAGGGGUAGGGGCCCAUCUAGGCGAGGAUCAGUAGCCGGACUGAGAGGAUGAAUAGCCAGAGUGGGACGGAGACACGGCACAGAGGCAUAGAGAUGGCAGCAGUGGUGAAACGGGCGCAAUGGGCGAAGGUCUGACCGAGCAACGCCGCGUGAGUGAUGACGACCUUCGGGUUGUAGAGCACUGUUAACGGGGACGAAAGGGCUUUUUGCGAAGAGGAAGAGGGAUUGACGGUACCGGAAAAGAAAGCAACGGCUAACUACGUG
Molecule: ribosomal RNA, 510 nt
Filed under: uncultured bacterium
Lineage: Bacteria
Description: partial 16S ribosomal RNA
Rfam family: Bacterial small subunit ribosomal RNA
Source: RNAcentral